This 531-nucleotide ribosomal RNA is filed under the name uncultured bacterium. RNAcentral describes it as "bacterial SSU rRNA". It matches the Rfam family "Bacterial small subunit ribosomal RNA", at positions 979 to 1509 of the family's 1533-position model. The record is from RNAcentral.
CCUUGACAUGCUGAGAACUUUCCAGAGAUGGAUUGGUGCCUUCGGGAACUCAGACACAGGUGCUGCAUGGCUGUCGUCAGCUCGUGUCGUGAGAUUGUUGGGUUAAGUCCCGUAACGAGCGCAACCCUUGUCCUUAGUUACCAGCACCUCGGGUGGGCACUCUAAGGAGACUGCCGGUGACAAACCGGAGGAAGGUGGGGAUGACGUCAAGUCAUCAUGGCCCUUACGGCCAGGGCUACACACGUGCUACAAUGGUCGGUACAAAGGGUUGCCAAGCCGCGAGGUGGAGCUAAUCUCAUAAAACCGAUCGUAGUCCGGAUCGCAGUCUGCAACUCGACUGCGUGAAGUCGGAAUCGCUAGUAAUCGUGAAUCAGAAUGUCACGGUGAAUACGUUCCCGGGCCUUGUACACACCGCCCGUCACACCAUGGGAGUGGGUUGCUCCAGAAGUAGCUAGUCUAACCUUCGGGGGGACGGUUACCACGGAGUGAUUCAUGACUGGGGUGAAGUCGUAACAAGGUAGGCGUAGCGAG